This 330-nucleotide ribosomal RNA is filed under the name uncultured bacterium. RNAcentral's name for it is "bacterial SSU rRNA". It matches the Rfam family "Bacterial small subunit ribosomal RNA", at positions 468 to 793 of the family's 1533-position model. The record is from RNAcentral.
UUUGACGUUAGCGACAGAAGAAGCACCGGCUAACUCCGUGCCAGCAGCCGCGGUAAUACGGAGGGUGCGAGCGUUAAUCGGAAUUACUGGGCGUAAAGCGCAUGCAGGUGGUUUGUUAAGUCAGAUGUGAAAGACCCGGGGCGUCAACCUCGGAAUAGCAUUUGAAACUGGCAGACUAGAGUACUGUAGAGGGGGGUAGGAAUUUCAGGUGUAGCGGUGAAAUGCGUAGAGAUCUGAAGGAAUACCGGUGGCGAAGGCGGCCCCCUCGGACAGAUACUGACACUCAGAUGCGAAAGCGUGGGGAGCAAACAGGAUUAGAUACCCUGGUAG